RNAcentral lists this ribosomal RNA (1397 nucleotides) under Camarosporium quaternatum. RNAcentral describes it as "bacterial SSU rRNA". It matches the Rfam family "Eukaryotic small subunit ribosomal RNA", at positions 62 to 1123 of the family's 1831-position model. Lineage: Eukaryota; Fungi; Ascomycota; Dothideomycetes; Pleosporales. The record is from RNAcentral.
AGUAUAAGCAAUUAUACCGUGAAACUGCGAAUGGCUCAUUAAAUCAGUUAUCGUUUAUUUGAUAGUACCUUACUACUUGGAUAACCGUGGUAAUUCUAGAGCUAAUACAUGCUUAAAACCCCGACUUCUGGAGGGGUGUAUUUAUUAGAUAAAAAACCAACGCCCUUCGGGGCUUUUUGGUGAUUCAUGAUAACUUUACGGAUCGCAUGGCCUUGCGCCGGCGACGGUUCAUUCAAAUUUCUGCCCUAUCAACUUUCGAUGGUAAGGUAUUGGCUUACCAUGGUUUCAACGGGUAACGGGGAAUUAGGGUUCGAUUCCGGAGAGGGAGCCUGAGAAACGGCUACCACAUCCAAGGAAGGCAGCAGGCGCGCAAAUUACCCAAUCCCGACACGGGGAGGUAGUGACAAUAAAUACUGAUACAGGGCUCUUUUGGGUCUUGUAAUUGGAAUGAGUACAAUUUAAACCUCUUAACGAGGAACAAUUGGAGGGCAAGUCUGGUGGACAAUUCAGCUCCCAUUCUGCUGACGCCAGAGAUAGUCGGGCAUCCUUUUGGGGGUGUUAUGCCGGCUAGUCGAUGUACCUAACAAACUGAUGGGGAGGUACCGGCAAGACAACCUGGAUCGGGGAAGGCUAAGGCGUCCAUUGCGGAUGCUAUGCUAAUCCCGAGCAGAGCUGCCACGGAGCGAUCUGUGGACAGCCUGUGUAGAGCACGCUAAGGUGUCGGUCAACUCACGUAGUUGGCUUAAGGGACGUGCCAUUCCCACUCGAAAGGGUGGCUGUCAGCAAUAGCGCCCAUCACGCAAAGGCUGACAGGCGUCAAACAGGGGGUUUGACGGUAAAAAUAAGGCCAGCAGCCGCGGUAAUUCCAGCUCCAAUAGCGUAUAUUAAAGUUGUUGCAGUUAAAAAGCUCGUAGUUGAAACUUGGGUCUGGCUGGCAGGUCCGCCUCACCGCGUGUACUUGUCCGGCCGGGCCUUCCUUCUGGAGAACCUCAUGCCCUUCACUGGGCGUGUUGGGGACCAGGACUUUUACUUUGAAAAAAUUAGAGUGUUCAAAGCAGGCCUUUGCUCGAAUACGUUAGCAUGGAAUAAUAGAAUAGGACGUGCGGUCCUAUUUUGUUGGUUUCUAGGACCGCCGUAAUGAUUAAUAGGGACAGUCGGGGGCAUCAGUAUUCAAUUGUCAGAGGUGAAAUUCUUGGAUUUAUUGAAGACUAACUACUGCGAAAGCAUUUGCCAAGGAUGUUUUCAUUAAUCAGUGAACGAAAGUUAGGGGAUCGAAGACGAUCAGAUACCGUCGUAGUCUUAACCGUAAACUAUGCCGACUAGGGAUCGGGCGAUGUUCUUUUUCUGACUCGCUCGGCACCUUACGAGAAAUCAAAGUUUUUGGGUUCUGGGGGGAG